Molecule: transfer RNA, 85 nt
Filed under: Felis catus (domestic cat)
Lineage: Eukaryota; Metazoa; Chordata; Mammalia; Carnivora; Felidae
Rfam family: tRNA
About the family: Transfer RNA (tRNA) molecules are approximately 80 nucleotides in length. Their secondary structure includes four short double-helical elements and three loops (D, anti-codon, and T loops).
Source: Rfam by way of RNAcentral
GCCUGGGUGGCUCAGUCGGUUGGGCAUCCGACUUCGGCUCAGGUCAUGAUCUCACUGCUCGUGGGUUCAAGCCCCACGUCGGGCU